RNAcentral lists this ribosomal RNA (322 nucleotides) under uncultured eukaryote. Its description in RNAcentral is "partial 18S ribosomal RNA". It matches the Rfam family "Eukaryotic small subunit ribosomal RNA", at positions 1470 to 1796 of the family's 1831-position model. The record is from RNAcentral.
CCCUUAAAUGUUCUGGGCCGCACGCGUGCUACACUGAGUGGAUCAGCGGGUCAGGUUGCGCGAAAGUGUUUCCUAAUCUUUAAAUCCGCUCGUGAUGGGGAUUGACGGUUGCAAUUUUCCGUCAUGAACGAGGAAUACCUUGUAAGCGCGGGUCAUCAUCCCGCGCUGAAUACGUCCCUGCCCUUUGUACACACCGCCCGUCGCUCCUACCGAUUGAGUGGUCCGGUGAGGCUUUGGGAUCUGAGCGGAAAGAGCGUUUCGCUGUUUCUGCCCGGAAAACUCAGUCGAACCUUAUCAUUUAGAGGAAGGAGAAGUCGUAACA